Molecule: ribosomal RNA, 255 nt
Filed under: uncultured soil bacterium
Lineage: Bacteria
Description: partial 16S ribosomal RNA
Rfam family: Bacterial small subunit ribosomal RNA
Source: RNAcentral
GGGACGAACGCUGGCGGCGUGCUUAACACAUGCAAGUCGAGCGGUAAGGCCUUUCGGGGUACACGAGCGGCGAACGGGUGAGUAACACGUGGGUGAUCUGCCCUGCACUUCGGGAUAAGCCUGGGAAACUGGGUCUAAUACCGGAUAUGACCUCCUAUCGCAUGGUCGGGUGGUGGAAAGAUUUAUCGGUGCAGGAUGGGCCCGCGGCCUAUCAGCUUGUUGGUGGGGUAAUGGCCUACCAAGGCGACGACGGGU